Pollicipes pollicipes is the source of this 503-nucleotide long non-coding RNA. RefSeq lists it as uncharacterized. NCBI's taxonomy places the organism in Eukaryota, Metazoa, Arthropoda, Thecostraca, Pollicipedomorpha, Pollicipedidae. The record is from RefSeq and is a predicted model, not a curated record. The transcript has 3 exons.
CGCUCCCCGCUUGACGUGCUGCACGUGACGUCAUCACUGAAGGCCCAGCACGCCACCUCUCGGCACAUCUCAAAGCUGCAGUCUUCUGAAGUGACGCCACUGUCGCCCGAGUCGAUGCUGCGGUCCGAAAUGGACGGCGUUGAGAAGGUCGAGGAGGACUUUUUCUGCAUCGGAUGUGUGUACGACCACAUGUGCCGUGCGAGUUAGAUCCGGAGAGAGGUAGCUGCAGCACAUUUGGUAAACGCACUGGUGAAGAGCGUGACGUCGUUGGCACUAACAGCACUGCCGUUUCGUCCGUUCGAUAAGUAACAUCUGCGAUUUCUUCCCACCACGGGUAUGCUGUUCUCGGUCGGUGUUGUGAUUUCGCGCACAGUCACGGGCUAGUGAGCUUAAUGAUUUCCAGUAAAGCGAAGAAAGUCGAUGCGUCUGCCGAUAUAAAUACCGUGUAAAGGCCUGUAAGAUGGUGCUCGUCUACAAAGAAAUACACGACACAUGUUCAUGUU